GAUGAACGUUGGCGGUGUGCCUAAUACAUGCAAGUCGAACGGAGUUAAUAGCAAUAUUGACUUAGUGGCGAACGGGUGAGUAACGCGUUGGUGAUCUGCCUUGAAGUGUGGAAUAACGCUCCGAAAGGAGCGCUAAUACCGCAUGUGCUCUCGGAGUUUAGAAAUCUGAGAGUAAAGGAUUUAUUCGCUUCAGGAGGAGCCUGCGUCCCAUCAGCUGGUUGGCAGGGUAAAAGCCUACCAAGGCAAUGACGGGUAGGGGACCUGAGAGGGUGGCCCCCCACAAUGGAACUGAAACACGGUCCAUACACCUACGGGUGGCAGCAGUAGGGAAUAUUAGAAAUGGACGAAAGUCUGAUCUAGCGACACCGCGUGUGCGAAGAAGGCCUUCGGGUUGUAAAGCACUUUUUGGAAGGAAUAGGAAGGAAGGUACUUCCAGAAUAAGUCUCGGCUAACUACGUG
RNAcentral lists this ribosomal RNA (459 nucleotides) under uncultured bacterium. RNAcentral's name for it is "bacterial SSU rRNA". It matches the Rfam family "Bacterial small subunit ribosomal RNA", at positions 28 to 507 of the family's 1533-position model. The record is from RNAcentral.